GUUUGUCCAUGACUUGAAAGGAUUUGCCAAGGAUGAAGAGGUUGCAAAAAUCAACAAGGCUGUGGUUAAGAUGGCAAACAACUUUAACCUGGGUGUGGAUGAGAUGACAUUGAGGAGCUCCAAGAGGUGGUUCCUGAGGAAUGGAUUAAUGAGGAGUUGUUGGAACUGAAACAGGAACGCAUAGCUAAAGAAGAGGUCAGAGAAAAGGAAAUGGCAGGAGAAGAAAAAGAAGGACCUCCAAGAAAAUUCACAGUGAAGAGUUUAGCAGAAGCAUUUGCAGACUUCAAUAAGCUCUGUAAAAAGUUUGAAAACAUGGACCCCCAACACCAAAAGUUUUUCAUUUGUAGAGAGGAAUGUUCAUAGUGUAGUAUCUGCUUACAAGCAAAUCUAUGAUGAAAAAAGGAAACAAACCAAGCAAGCCACCAUGGACGUAUUUCUGAAAAGAGUGACCCUUCCUCAAGAAGAGCCUCAGGCAGGUCCUUCGGGAGGUGUUCCAGAAGAAGCCAUGGUUCUCAUAGGAGAUGACAGCUCCAUGACUGUUAUUGCCCCUGAAGCCCUUCCAGUGGGACAAGAUAUGGAGGUGGAAGGCAGUGACACUGAUGACCCUGAACCUGUGUAGGCUAGGCUACCCUAGGCUAAUGUGUGUGUUUGUGUCUUAGUUUUUAACAAAAAAGUUUAAAAAGUAAAAAAAAAAAAAAAAAUUUUAAUAGAAAAAAGCUUAUAAAAUAAGGAUAUAAAGAAAGAAAAUAUUUUUGUACAGCUGUAUAAUGUGUUUGAGUUUUAAAGUAAGUCUUACUACAAAAGUCAAAAGUUAAAAAAAUUAAAAAUUUUAUAAAGUAAAAAUGUUACAGUAAGUUAAGGUUAAUUUAUUAUUGAAGAAAGAAAAAUACUGUUUUUGUGAACUUAGUGCAGCCUAAGUGUACAGUGUGGAUAAAGCCUCCAGCUGUGUCCAGUAGUGUCCUGGGCCUCCACAUUCACUCGUCACUCACUCACGACUCAGCCAGAGCACCUUCCAGUCCUGCAAGCUCCAUUCAUGCCCCCAGGUACAUAGUUGUGUAUUCUUCGUUGUGGGUCCUUCUAGUUGUGGCAUGUGGGACGCCGCCUCAGCGUGGUCCGAUGAGCAGUGCCAUGUCCGCGCCCAGGAUUCGAACCAACGAGACACUGGGCCGCCUGCAGCAGAGCGCGCGAACCUAACCACUCGGCCACGGGGCCAGCCCCUUGGAGGAAAAUCUUUUAACACUUCACAUUAAGCAUGAUUCAUGCUGUAGAUUUUUUAUAGACAUUCUUAUCAUAUUAAGGAAAUUCUCUUCUAUUUCUUUUUUGGUAAGAAUUUAUUAAUUUUCUUGAGGUAACUAGUUUAUAACAUUGUAUAAAUUUCAGGUGUACAUCAUUAUAUUUCAAUUUCUGUAUAGAUUACAUCAUGUUUACCACCCAAAGACUAAUUACCAUCCAUCACCAUACACAUGUGCCCAGUCACCUAUUUCAACCUCCUCCCUCCCUCCUUCCACUCUGGUAACCACCAAUCUAAUCUCUGUCUCUAUGUGUUUGUUUGUUGUUGUUGUUUUUAUCUUCUACUUAUGAGUGAGAUCAUACGGUAUUUGACUUUCUCCCUCUGACUUAUCUCGCUUAGCAUAAUACCCUCAAGGUCCAUCCAUGUUGUCACAAAUGGCAAGAUUUCAUCUUUUUUUAUGCCUAAGUAGUAUUCCAUUAUUUAUAUACACUACAUCUUCUUUAUCCAUUUGUCCCUUGAUGGGCACUUAGGUUGCUUCCAAAUCUUGGCUAUUGUGAAUAAUGCCACAAUGAACACAGGAGUGCUUAUAGCUUUAUGUAUUUGUAUUU
RNAcentral lists this long non-coding RNA (1839 nucleotides) under Equus caballus (horse). Its description in RNAcentral is "lncRNA (ENSECAG00000054406.1)". Lineage: Eukaryota; Metazoa; Chordata; Mammalia; Perissodactyla; Equidae. The record is from RNAcentral.